This is a long non-coding RNA of Chelonia mydas (Green sea turtle), 952 nucleotides long. RefSeq lists it as uncharacterized. NCBI's taxonomy places the organism in Eukaryota, Metazoa, Chordata, Testudines, Cheloniidae. The transcript has 3 exons. The record is from RefSeq and is a predicted model, not a curated record.
CCUUCUACCAUCCUUAUUACCUUCCCUGACCUUAGUAUCUGGACUCCUAGAAAACCUGAGGUACAGAGACAUUAAGUGUCUUGCCCAAGGUCUACAUUGUAUCAAUAGCAGGAUGGAAUAGAACCCAGCUAUCCUAGUUGCCAGCCCUGGGACCUUCUACAAAUAAUUUAAAAGGCUCAAACCUGAAAGCCAGCUAAACUCACUUGCAUUUAUUUUUAAUAUUUCUAGUCUUUCCAUUAUUGUUAUGUAAAAUGAUUGUAUUCAAUUGUCUUCAGUUGAUUUGUGUAUCUCCAUUUUUUAACUGCAGUGUCUGAUUGUCAGCAGAGCACUUCCCAGAUUACAUAGCUGAAAUGAAUAUAUGAAUAUAUUGUGAAAUUAGCAUGAAAUGGACAAUAUGGCAAACUUAUUUCAUAGAUCCAGACAAAAGACAAAUGAAAAUCAAGAAUCCCUGCAACUUCCUCAAAAAGCAUCUUAUUGAAUAAAUUACACUUGGAAAGGCAGCAGUGGUUAUUUUAAUGGGUGAAGAUUGAUGAUCAGGACCUGAAGCCUGUACCAGCAAACAAAGUACCUGCUUACAGUCCACCCCACUGCAAGAUCUCAAUGUCAGAACUGAGUCAAUCAUUCUCAACAAAUAAAAGAAGCUACAUUGUAUUGGCUGUGAAGAAUUUGCUGCAAGUAUCUGAUAUUCACUAUUCAAAAUUUCAGCCAGGACCUAAAAUUCCACAAGAGAUAAGAGCUGGAAGUCGAUAUGCCAGAAGCAGAACAGGGCAACUGGAAAUGAAGACAUACCUCCAAAGCAAAACCUGUCCAAGAUGAAGGUGGCAUUUGUUUUGUGUGACUGUCAUAAUCUGACUGGUGUCCAGAAGUCUGAGAUUAUUCUAACAAUGACACAGCCGUGGACUGAAUUUCCUCAGUGACAAAUGGAAGCAGGAGAGAAUGGAAAUAAGAUGCU